GAAUCUCCAAUUUGUGGUUUUGCUUUAAAUUAGUAACAUUAUUCUAAAAUUUGGUGCAGCCAAAUCCUCUAGAAUUCCACACAACUAUAUUCAUAUUUAAAAAUAAUACGGAUUGAGAAGGCAGAGAACCAACAGCUUCCAAUAACAAGCACUACACCUUUAGAAAUGUUGACAGAACGCAUACCUAACAUAUAAAAAUUUGACACAAUCUCCUGACAGAUCAAAUGCUAGGAUACCCAGAAAAUCAAGAACACAGACAACCCUAGAGAUUUGCUGGUACAAAUUAACAAAAUUGUGGAAAGUUACAGAAUUUUGGGAAGAAUUACCAAAUUAUCUCAGAUGGGUUACGAGGCCGCAACCAUCUACAUCAACAAUCGAGGCAGCAGCAGAAAAACAGAGAUCGAAAGAAUGAUUUUCCACCGAUUAGCAGGAGGUCCAGGUUGCUUUCACUGAGGAGAGAGAAAUAAUUGCAGGGUGGAAGAUGGUUAGGAAGACUAGGGGAAUAGAGGGUUAAAGGGCAUGGCGUGAUACUGGAUAGAGGGAAAGGGUAGAUCUGCAGGAGGAAGAGAGAAGGGAUGAAGGUAAACAGGGAAAAAAGGCAAGCAGGAGAGGCUCACAGAUGAGAGCAUUUCACAAACGUGGUACAAGGGUAGCCGAUUGACCUGACACACGGUGUUUUCUUAUAUCCAAAUCUGUAGGACAAGAAGGAGCAUGUAAGGUAUGAACCCUCUUCACACAUCUCGUACCUAAACAUCCAGGUAUCAUUCUGAUUCAUGACUUCCGAUUCCAAGUCGGUAAGCACGCAGUCAGUGGGAACACAUACCAAACACACGGCUGUCCCUAAGCAAUAUAUACAUAUAGAUUGAUCAGAGCAUAUUCUCUGUAUCAUGCUCUUGCAACAUAGCAUAUUCAGUUGAUGAAAUUAAAAUCCAGUGCAAGUCAAGGUUCACGAUUCAUUAAUCUACGAGAAGUAGUAUCGGUACAACUAUACGGGAAAUAUAUAAUCUAGGAGAAGUUGUAUCUCGGUUUUCCUAAGGAGAACUAUCAUUCGGAUCAGUUAAAAGCUCAAAACUAGUAACGAGUUAGCAAAGCUCUUUCUACAUUACAGAACUACAAAUGCGCAGGCAGGACAUAGGAGCGACUCUGGUGUUUCAUAAUCCCUUCAUUUGUUUGCAACUUCACGCCUUAAAAAGGUGGGGGCAAGCAGCUUCUCCAGCUCCACUAAUCUGAAAUUACAUGUACAUAAUUGGUAAACAAGCAGAAAUGUGUUCUGGAGCAUAAAAUGUAGCACCAAACAUCAAUCGUUGACUUA
Malus domestica (apple) is the source of this 1312-nucleotide non-coding RNA. Lineage: Eukaryota; Viridiplantae; Streptophyta; Magnoliopsida; Rosales; Rosaceae. The record is from RefSeq and is a predicted model, not a curated record.